AUUGAACGCUGGCGGCAGACUUAACACAUGCAAGUCGAGCGGAGAUGAGGUGCUUGCACCUUAUCUUAGCGGCGGACGGGUGAGUAAUGCUUAGGAAUCUGCCUAUUAGUGGGGGACAACAUUCCGAAAGGAAUGCUAAUACCGCAUACGUCCUACGGGAGAAAGCAGGGGAUCUUCGGACCUUGCGCUAAUAGAUGAGCCUAAGUCGGAUUAGCUAGUUGGUGGGGUAAAGGCCUACCAAGGCGACGAUCUGUAGCGGGUCUGAGAGGAUGAGCCGCCACACUGGGACUGAGACACGGCCCAGACUCCUACGGGAGGCAGCAGUGGGGAAUAUUGGACAAUGGGGGGAACCCUGAUCCAGCCAUGCCGCGUGUGUGAAGAAGGCCUUAUGGUUGUAAAGCACUUUAAGCGAGGAGGAGGCUCUUUUGGUUAAUACCCAAGAUGAGUGGACGUUACUCGCAGAAUAAGCACCGGCUAACUCUGUGCCAGCCGCCGCCGUAA
RNAcentral lists this ribosomal RNA (501 nucleotides) under uncultured bacterium. Its description in RNAcentral is "partial 16S ribosomal RNA". It matches the Rfam family "Bacterial small subunit ribosomal RNA", at positions 30 to 523 of the family's 1533-position model. The record is from RNAcentral.